CGGGUGAGUAACGCGUGAGGAACCUGCCUCAAAGAGGGGGACAACAGUUGGAAACGACUGCUAAUACCGCAUAAGCCCACGGGUCGGCAUCGACCAGAGGGAAAAGGAGCAAUCCGCUUUGAGAUGGCCUCGCGUCCGAUUAGCUAGUUGGUGAGGUAAUGGCCCACCAAGGCAACGAUCGGUAGCCGGACUGAGAGGUUGAACGGCCACAUUGGGACUGAGACACGGCCCAG
RNAcentral lists this ribosomal RNA (233 nucleotides) under uncultured bacterium. RNAcentral's name for it is "partial 16S ribosomal RNA". It matches the Rfam family "Bacterial small subunit ribosomal RNA", at positions 103 to 334 of the family's 1533-position model. The record is from RNAcentral.